Molecule: ribosomal RNA, 253 nt
Filed under: uncultured bacterium
Lineage: Bacteria
Description: partial 16S ribosomal RNA
Rfam family: Bacterial small subunit ribosomal RNA
Source: RNAcentral
UACGGAGGGUGCAAACGUUGCUCGGAAUCAUUGGGCGUAAAGCGCACGUAGGUGGCCUGUUAAGUCGGGUGUGAAAUCCCUGGGCUCAACCCAGGAAGUGCACUCGAAACUGGUAGGUUUGAGUACUGAAGAGGGUCGCGGAAUUCCCGGUGUAGAGGUGAAAUUCGUAGAUAUCGGGAGGAACACCAGUGGCGAAGGCGGCGACCUGGGCAGAUACUGACACUGAGGUGCGAAAGCGUGGGGAGCAACCAGG